RNAcentral lists this ribosomal RNA (492 nucleotides) under uncultured bacterium. RNAcentral's name for it is "partial 16S ribosomal RNA". It matches the Rfam family "Bacterial small subunit ribosomal RNA", at positions 29 to 507 of the family's 1533-position model. The record is from RNAcentral.
AGUGAACGCUGGCGGUAGGCCUAACACAUGCAAGUCGAACGGCAGCACAGUAAGAGCUUGCUCUUACGGGUGGCGAGUGGCGGACGGGUGAGGAAUACAUCGGAAUCUACUUUUUCGUGGGGGAUAACGUAGGGAAACUUACGCUAAUACCGCAUACGACCUACGGGUGAAAGCAGGGGAUCUUCGGACCUUGCGCGAUUGAAUGAGCCGAUGUCGGAUUAGCUAGUUGGCGGGGUAAAGGCCCACCAUGGCGACGAUCCGUAGCUGGUCUGAGAGGAUGAUCAGCCACACUGGAACUGAGACACGGUCCAGACUCCUACGGGAGGCAGCAGUGGGGAAUAUUGGACAAUGGGCGCAAGCCUGAUCCAGCCAUACCGCGUGGGUGAAGAAGGCCUUCGGGUUGUAAAGCCCUUUUGUUGGGAAAGAAAAGCAGCAGGUUAAUACCCCGCUGUUCUGACGGUACCCAAAGAAUAAGCACCGGCUAACUUCGUG